GCGCCCGUGGCGGAAUUGGUAGACGCAGGAGACUUAAAAUCUCCCGACCGUAUGGUCGUGCCAGUUCGAGUCUGGCCGGGCGCACCA
This 87-nucleotide transfer RNA is filed under the name Kordiimonas sp. SCSIO 12610. RNAcentral's name for it is "tRNA-Leu". It matches the Rfam family "tRNA". From Rfam's summary of the family: Transfer RNA (tRNA) molecules are approximately 80 nucleotides in length. Their secondary structure includes four short double-helical elements and three loops (D, anti-codon, and T loops). Further hydrogen bonds mediate the characteristic L-shaped molecular structure. tRNAs have two regions of fundamental functional importance: the anti-codon, which is responsible for specific mRNA codon recognition, and the 3' end, to which the tRNAs corresponding amino acid is attached (by aminoacyl-tRNA synthetases). tRNAs cope with the degeneracy of the genetic code in two manners: having more than one tRNA (with a specific anti-codon) for a particular amino acid; and 'wobble' base-pairing, i.e. permitting non-standard base-pairing at the 3rd anti-codon position. Lineage: Bacteria; Pseudomonadati; Pseudomonadota; Alphaproteobacteria; Kordiimonadales; Kordiimonadaceae. The record is from RNAcentral.